AGCCUUGUAUUCAAUUAUGAUUUUAAAUUGCAAAUUUAAAAGUGGCUUAAACCCAAGGCUU
RNAcentral lists this transfer RNA (61 nucleotides) under Ptiliidae sp. BMNH 1274723. RNAcentral describes it as "tRNA-Cys". The record is from RNAcentral. Lineage: Eukaryota; Metazoa; Arthropoda; Insecta; Coleoptera; Ptiliidae.